CCCUGCUUGAGAGCUGCAGGAUACACUAAGAUUCAAACUGCCUCUGUGUUUGUUUCUGUUUGCCACCACCGAAUCCUUACCCACCGAGCUUCGAGGACCCUCAUUCCAGGGACCCACAUAACCGACUUGGGUGGUCCGUGGCAGCUGGCGCCCGAAUGUGGAACUCGAAGCAGGUCCCGGUUCAAGCCUUCUCAUCAUGGGUACAGAGACCUCCUUUCAGAAAAUCCAGAAAUGGAAUCCUUUGCAGAAGAGGCACCCUCCUCUGACGACACAAACGAAGUCAUAUAAUACUUCCUCACCUACCGCUAAUCUCCUGAAGGUACAGCCAGGAGAUGACUGGAAUGCAGAGACCCCAAUCUUGAUCCCAGACAGACUUAUUGGACCCUUCCGCCAGAAAACCUCUAUCAAGAACCCAGAAGGAAAAGAAGGCAAAAGAAGUCAUGAAGAGAAUGAAGAGGCUUGAUCUCCCUUCUCCACAGGUGGCUUCGGCUCCUCCUGCACUGUCAUCGACCACAGGGAGAGAUCCACCCACUUGGGGACAACUGGAGAAACUCACCCAGAGAGCACAACAAAUAAUCUCUGAUAUCGGGAAACCACCAUCAGUAGAAAAUAUGCUAUGCUUGCUGUGGUUGCCAUGCAGGUAUGCUGUGCCUCUGCAACCUCGUCUUGAGCCUAUGUUCCCCAUCCUUCACUUCUUCAUCCCAUGGGUUGGGGAGAUAAUGUGCAUCUCAGAGUCAUGACUCUGAGCUGCUAGGGGGACACGCUGACUUCCCCCCCCCCAUUUGACUUCCUCUGUAAUUAAAUAUGAGGGAAUGUCAGACUCUGCCCCAAUCUGUGUUACUUUAAAGGGGAUACCCCCCAUGGGCUGCCUUCCCAAUAGUUAUAGAACUUUUCUUUCUGAAGCUCCAGAUAGACCCUGGCACCCCCCCCAAUCGUAAAAGAUUAAUGUGGGAGCUUUCAAUAAUGAUUUUGUGUUAUUAUAACUAUAAUGAAACCUCUAUAAGGCCAAA
Long non-coding RNA from Mus caroli (Ryukyu mouse), 1010 nucleotides. RefSeq lists it as uncharacterized. The record is from RefSeq and is a predicted model, not a curated record. Lineage: Eukaryota; Metazoa; Chordata; Mammalia; Rodentia; Muridae.